This 608-nucleotide ribosomal RNA is filed under the name Sinomonas cyclohexanicum. RNAcentral describes it as "bacterial SSU rRNA". It matches the Rfam family "Bacterial small subunit ribosomal RNA", at positions 544 to 1152 of the family's 1533-position model. Lineage: Bacteria; Bacillati; Actinomycetota; Actinomycetes; Micrococcales; Micrococcaceae. The record is from RNAcentral.
UCCGGAAUAUUGGGGCGUAAGAGCUCGUAGGCGGCUUGUCGCGUCUGCUGUGAAAGCCCGGGGCUCAACCCCGGGUCUGCAGUGGGUACGGGCAGGCUGGAGUGCAGUAGGGGAGACUGGAAUUCCUGGUGUAGCGGUGAAAUGCGCAGAUAUCAGGAGGAACACCGAUGGCGAAGGCAGGUCUCUGGGCUGUAACUGACGCUGAGGAGCGAAAGCAUGGGGAGCGAACAGGAUUAGAUACCCUGGUAGUCCAUGCCGUAAACGUUGGGCACUAGGUGUGGGGGCCAUUCCACGGUUUCCGCGCCGCAGCUAACGCAUUAAGUGCCCCGCCUGGGGAGUACGGCCGCAAGGCUAAAACUCAAAGGAAUUGACGGGGGCCCGCACAAGCGGCGGAGCAUGCGGAUUAAUUCGAUGCAACGCGAAGAACCUUACCAAGGCUUGACAUGUGCCGGACCGUCCCAGAGAUGGGGCUUCCCUUCGGGGCCGGUUCACAGGUGGUGCAUGGUUGUCGUCAGCUCGUGUCGUGAGAUGUUGGGUUAAGUCCCGCAACGAGCGCAACCCUCGUUCCAUGUUGCCAGCACUUUCGGUGGGGACUCAUGGGAGACUGC